AUGCUGUACAAUGCACUAUACACAGUUCUUUACAUUGCCACAUACACAAACUCUAAUAGCACAACCAAGAAAGUUACCAUUGCCUAUGAUAGAUGCGUGGUGAGAGAUGACGCCUGUCAGAGACCCUCCCCCCCAGUCUGUACAGUUAUAAAUACGAGGGAAAGGACGGACCGAAGCCGCCGUAUGAAGCAAACCAGUGGGCCCCCCCCCAGCGUCCCCUCGACGCCGGCUCCUGGCUCCGGGCAGGGCUGGGGCUCGGUGGGUGCAGGGCUGGGAGCAGCGGGUGCUCCCUGCCCCAUGGGCUGUCCUGUGGGGCAGGGACGGGGCUUGGGGGACAGGAGGGGCUGCGGGCAGGGGGGUUGCUGCAGCCGGGCGAGGUGGGAGGCGAUGGGCUGGUGCCCGGGGAGCUGUUGGUGGAGGUUCCAGAGCGAAACCCGGCCCCGAUUUCCAUCCGGCAGCAGUGCAGGCAGCGGGGUGCUGGGAGCAUCCAGGCUCACCAGGGCUCUGCCAGCCCCACGGGCAUCACCAGCUCCCCCCACGCCGUGGUCCAAGCACCCAGGUCCAGCCCAUCCCCGUCCCCUCCACCCAGAGCCCCCCAGCUCCUGCCCACCCCUCCCCGGGGUGCUUUCUGGGGGGGCCCACGCCCCGCUGCCUGCUGUCCCUCGCACCGCACCGCACGACGACUGUACACACGACGCUUACCAACACGACUCCACCGCACACACGACAACCCCACGGUCACGAACCACAAAGACAGCUUCGCAAUGGGACCUGCCCCGGGGGUGCACGCCCGGGGCCACCGCGCCGCGGGGCAGGGGGAGGCGAGCGGGGCUGGGGCUGGGGGCUCUUCUCUUUCUGCUGGUGUGGACGGGGGUCCCUGGGCACGGGCAUCCCCGUCUGCAAACGCCUGCGUGCCGGGUGCUGGUGAGCUGCUGGGUGUGCCCAUCAUGCAGACACCCCCCCCCAUUUCUCCCCUGCUUGGGGGGCACACGGGACAGGACCCCCGCUCUCUCCCGUGGCAGCCCCAGUGCCUUCCCUGCCUCUCCUCACCAGCUCCUUCACACCCCCAUGCAGAGCUGGGGGGGCCGGGUACUAAAUAGCCAUUUGCAAUCGCAAUCGGUUUCCGAUGAUUUAAAUACGCCUGAAACAAGAGGUGGUGUAUAA
This 1164-nucleotide long non-coding RNA is filed under the name Anser cygnoides (Swan goose). RNAcentral's name for it is "lncRNA (ENSACDG00005001970.1)". Lineage: Eukaryota; Metazoa; Chordata; Aves; Anseriformes; Anatidae. The record is from RNAcentral.